Molecule: long non-coding RNA, 1570 nt
Organism: Chrysemys picta bellii (western painted turtle)
Lineage: Eukaryota; Metazoa; Chordata; Testudines; Emydidae
Source: RefSeq, a predicted model, not a curated record
CCGCAGAAACAAAGAAUCUGGUUCUCAUGCACUCUUGUAAUUAAAAAGAAAAAAACUGCAGCAAAACUGCUCCCACAUGGGAUGGUUUACAAUUUUCAAUUAUCUGUUAGCAGCAUUUUUAAGAAGCCUUUAACGCAGGCUCACUGUGGAUCACUGAGCCACACCAGUUUGUGUUUCAGGACAGGAGGUGGUCAGGGAAUGAGUGACCAGGCUGCCUUCCACCAGCCCGCAAGGCGAAUUCCUGCCAGCUAAAAAAACACAACAAAAAAACCACACUUUCCUCCCUGCCGUGCUGCAGCCAUGGUAGGCCCAGGAUAUUAGAGAGGAGGUGGGCAAGGCGAUAGAGUCCUGCACUUUUGAAAGAAGUUAUUGGAGCAAGAAGCAGCAAGAGCAUGUACAGUAUUUCAUGUGACCAUUAUCUUGUAUCUAGGUCUCUUUGUACAAGGCAGCAUUCCAACUCACAAGUAAAAGACUCAUGGUCUCUGCUAACUUGAAGUGGAAGUGACCCUCCUCCGUGGAUGUAACAAGUGCCACCUCACAAGCUGACUGGAGACACACCAUUUAGCCAUCACUCUAGCCCUGCUGCCCCAGUGGAUCAACACCACAACAAUCCGUGAGUUCUGUGAGCUGUGUCCAAACUUGGGGAAAUGAGGGGUGCCUUACCCAGCUCUCUCAAACCUCCUUAUUGGCCAUCCUCCUUGGAAAUGAUUCAAGCAAGCAUGUGCAAUUAAAAUAGUGCAUGAAAUUGACGGCUAACCUUUCUCUUAAAUUAGUUUUCAAAGACAGAAACCUGCGGUCCAAAAUAUAGUUUCCAGGAGGGAUGCACCAUUUGAUCUUUCCCAAGCAAAGUCUUCUAAGAAAAUUAAAAAGAAAGAGGUGGCCUGUCUUUAUGGGAAAGAGCAAUGAGCCCAAACCAUCCCCACAUGCUGGUAAUUGCCUUCAGUGAAAUUAAGAGAAAGGUGAUGAAGUGAAAGCCAAAUAGUUUUUCCUCAGCCUCUCUGUAUCUGGACUCUACAAACCUAUGAGGAGGUCUGUUUUGUUCAAGGAGCAUCAACUUCAGGGUUAUGCUUGACCUAGGGAAGCUGGGAAAUGUUUACUCCUCUGCCCUUGCACAGUCUCUCUCACUAUUAACUAAAUAUUUUGCUGCUCAAGGCAAUCCUCCUUUCAGCCUGUAGGAGAGUCAGCGAAAUGAGUUCUGUGACUUUGGCUUCUGGAUCCACAUCACACAGAGAGAUACUAAAAAUUAAGUUUGAAUGUCUCUGGCUCUCGCUCUGAUGGUCCAGUUUUCAACAGGAGGUUGCCCUCAUGCUAACAAAAAAAUGACCCUGUGACUGGGCCUGAAAAUACUGCCAAGGGCGUGUUCAUAGUGGUGCAAACUGUUAAUUAGACACCUGUGUAAAUGUCUGAAUAUGCAUUCAUCCAAUUUGCACACGAUACAGCAGUAAAUGCAUGCACUGUAGGAGGUGCAGUUUAUUCUUUUGUUUUGGCACACAGAUCUUUGCUUCUUCCCUGUUAAAAAUUGGUAUUUUUUUUCAUCAGAUUAAAAUAGGAAAGGUUUGUUACCUGACCA